GUAUUUACGUCCACAUUUCUAAAUAAUAAGCUUUUACUAAUAUCUUUAAUUUAUCAAUCAUGUAUGGGAUUUAUUAAUGAGGAUUUGAUCCUCCUUUCCAACUGACUAACCAAUAAAACUAUUGCAUAUUUUUGAUGAAUCAAUAAUUAAUAUUUACCCUGUUUUAACUAUGCAAACAUAGUUUGUUGAUAAGCCAAGUAAGUGAGCUAUAAUUGUUUCUCAUAUAACUUUUCUUUCUGGAGUUAACUGCACUCUUUUUUUCAUUUGCUUUGUUUUCUUGAUGUUUCUCUCUCAUUCUUUCCACAUCCUCUAACCUCACAAUAUAAUUUUCCACACAAACCUUUCCAGUUUCUCUUUUCUGUUUUUAAAUCUUGGAGCUCUUUGUCUUCUUGGUACAAUCUGGACUGAUCACUCUAGUUCUGCUUUGCAUCCAUUUUUC
RNAcentral lists this long non-coding RNA (439 nucleotides) under Homo sapiens (human). RNAcentral's name for it is "HSALNT0399828". The record is from RNAcentral. Lineage: Eukaryota; Metazoa; Chordata; Mammalia; Primates; Hominidae.